This 233-nucleotide unclassified non-coding RNA is filed under the name uncultured Agaricales. RNAcentral's name for it is "sequence contains ITS1". The record is from RNAcentral. Lineage: Eukaryota; Fungi; Basidiomycota; Agaricomycetes; Agaricales.
CUGAAGAAAUGAUAGAGUUGAGCUGGCUCCUUAGGAGUAUGUGCUCGCUCCAUCGCUUUUUCUACUCUCCACUGUGCACCUCUUGUAGGCUUACGAUGUUUCAGCUCGAAAGGGUUGGAUUCAGAGGGCUAGCAGUUCACCUGCUUGGCCUCGACUUCGUAGCCUAUGUCUUACAUACACUCUGUCAAAGUAUAUGAAUGUGUAUCGUUGGUCUUUGACCGAUAAACUACAUA